CCUGCUCUUACGUUUUCUUUAAAACAAAAAGAUACCUCUCAUUAAGAGUAAAACAAACAAGUAUAACAAGUCAAUAUACCUUAUGCACAAUGCUAUAACAAACAAACAUAAGUGACAGACCUAGUGCAAACUGUUAUGACGCUAUUAAACUAAAUACAAUCUAUAGAGGACUAAAACUCACAAAGAAUGAGUGGAUCAGGUGCCACUUAACAC
Pelobates cultripes (western spadefoot toad) is the source of this 213-nucleotide non-coding RNA. NCBI's taxonomy places the organism in Eukaryota, Metazoa, Chordata, Amphibia, Anura, Pelobatidae. The record is from the annotation of a GenBank genome assembly.